Molecule: long non-coding RNA, 285 nt
Organism: Adelges cooleyi (spruce gall adelgid)
Lineage: Eukaryota; Metazoa; Arthropoda; Insecta; Hemiptera; Adelgidae
Exons: 3
Source: RefSeq, a predicted model, not a curated record
GAAGAGUCACAAAACUAACUACAUAAAGUCAAACCGAUCAUAAACUGUACUAGUGUUUUUUUGAAUUUCUCACACAUAACUUAACCUAUAAGGUUUAUCAAACAACUACAAAGUAUUUUUUUGGUAAUGAACUCAAAAAUGCGUCUUCGUUGUGUCGUGUUAUUUGCAAUUUAUUCCUUUGGCCUCAUCAAGGGUCAAUGUCAAUUUUGUGCAUAAAAAAAUUAGACCGCUAAUUGCAAAAAUUAAAACAUUCUUUAUACACUGUGAAAAAAUCACACUCUGAGG